Zonotrichia albicollis (white-throated sparrow) is the source of this 2108-nucleotide long non-coding RNA. NCBI's taxonomy places the organism in Eukaryota, Metazoa, Chordata, Aves, Passeriformes, Passerellidae. The record is from Ensembl.
GGGAGGGGCUAUGAGGGGAUGGGCAGAGGGUGACAGAGAGAGGAACUGACUGACAAAGGGAUGGAGGGGACAAAGGGGACCGCUAGGGGGCAGGUUUCAUCCCAGGAGGUCGUAAGUGCCACCAGGUCCCCGACACCUCCCCUGUCCCCUCCCCAGCUGUCCCCAGCCCUGCUGCAGCCACAGGUCACCAUGGUGGCCAUCCUGGUUGAGCUGCUGGAUAUCCUGCACAGGCGGGACGAGGAGAUGCUGAUGCUGCUCGAGUCCCCAAGGUGCCUGUACAGUGAACUGGUGGAUUUCACCGAGGAGUUCCACUCCAUCCUGGAAUACACUGAUGACACCUGGUACCACCGCAAUAACUCCUCUUUAACUGACCCUCUCACCUCCCUGAGCCAGGCCCUGGCUGCCUACAAGAGCACCCCAUGGACCACCUGGUUCCAUGUGAAAAUAGCAGCGAGCAAGUGGCAGGAGGCGGUGUCUCUGCUUGUGGACAGGUGGGCCAGGCUGCCCAGGAAGGCCACCGAGCUCCACAACGCCUGCAGGGAGGUGGCCGACAGGGCGGCCACUGCCACUGCCCGGGCCAGGGACCUGCAUCAUGAGAUUGCCCAUUAUGAGACAGCUCAGGAAAACAUGGAGCUGGAUCAGGCCCUGGGCAGGGAGGAGGGGGCCGAGGUGAUGGCCGGGCAUAAAGCCCAGGUGAGGAGAGAGGCCAUGGUGGCUGCCAGCGAGGCAACAAGGGCCACCAUGGUGAGACAGCGGGUGGAGGCGGCCCUGGGGCUGCUGGAGCGCUUGGUGGCCACGUGUGACGAAGCCACCGCGUUCACCCGGGAGCUGCAGCGCAGGGUUGGGGACAUCAAGACCAGCUUGAAGGGGACAAAUGAGGCAUCAUACGAUGUCCCUGAGGACUUGGUGGCCAGGGUGGCCAUGGCUGAGCGGCUGUGGGAGGCCAACAACCGCCUGGCCAAGGAUCACCUGGAGGAGACGCUUGACGACAUCAUCAAGUUCUAUAUCGAUGGUGAACCCGUCAGCCCCAGUGGCUGUGGCGUGGCCGAGCGGUGCCAAAGAGCCACUGAGGACAUCCCAAGGCUCCUCAAACCCCGAGAGCGUCCCCAAGGUGUCCCCAAGGUGUCUCCAGUGAGCAUGGAGCUCCAAGAGCUGUCCCCAACCCUGCUGCAGCCACAGGUCACCGUGGUGGCCAUCCUGGGCAAGCUCCUGGCCACCCUGCCCAGGCGGGACAAGAUGAAUCUCGUGUCCGCAGUGGACCUGUACUGGGAACUGGUGAACUUCACCAAGGACCUUCGGGUCACCCUGUACUGCACUGAUGCCACCUGGCAGCGCCACAAUGUCACUUCCAAUGGUGAUGACCCUGUCACCUUGCUGAGCCAGGUCCUGGUCACCUACAAGAGCACCCCAUGGACCCCCCAGAACCGUGUGACAAUGGCAGCCAGGAAGUGGCAGCAGUUGGUGGCCACGCUCAUGAACAGCUGGGCCCGGCUGGCCAGGGCAGCCACCAAGCUCCGCAACAGCUGCAUAGAGGCGGCUGCUGAGGCGGUUGACAGAGUCGCCCAGGCCAGAGAACAACAGCGCAGGGCUGCCUAUGGUGGGACAGCUCAGGAAAACAUGGUGGAGCUGGGUCAGGCCCUGGGCAGGGAGGAGGGGGCCGAGGAGGAGGAUCCCUAUAAAGCCCAGAAAAGGAGAGAUGCCAGGGUGGCUGCCAGCGAGGCAACAAGGGCCACCAUGGUGAGACAGCAGCUGGAGGUGGCCCUGGGGCUGCUGGAGCCCUUGGUGGCCGCGUGUGACGAAGCCACCGCGUUUCCCCGGGAGCUGGAGUGGCGGCUCAGGGACAUUGAGGCUGCCCUGAAGGGGACAAAUGAGGCGUCCCCUGAUGUCCCGGCGGACUUGGUGGCCAAGGUGGCUGAGGCUGAGCGGCUGUGGAAGGCCAACGCCCGCCUGGCCAAGGAUCACCUAUGGGGGAUGCUUGAUGACAUCAUCAACUUCUAUUUCACUGCUGGUCCCACCAGCCCCAGUGCCUGUGAGGUUGCCAAGCGGUGCCAAAGAGCCACCGAGGACAUCCCAAGGCUCCUUCGACCUGUGGAGCAUCCCCAAGAUGU